RNAcentral lists this ribosomal RNA (253 nucleotides) under uncultured bacterium. RNAcentral's name for it is "partial 16S ribosomal RNA". It matches the Rfam family "Bacterial small subunit ribosomal RNA", at positions 524 to 776 of the family's 1533-position model. The record is from RNAcentral.
UACAGAGGUCCCAAGCGUUGUUCGGAUUCACUGGGCGUAAAGGGUGCGUAGGCGGUCGGGUAAGUCUGACGUGAAAUCUUCAAGCUCAACUUGGAAACUGCGUCCGAUACUAUUCGGCUAGAGGAAUGGAGGGGAGACUGGAAUACUUGGUGUAGCAGUGAAAUGCGUAGAUAUCAAGUGGAACACCAGUGGCGAAGGCGAGUCUCUGGACAGUUCCUGACACUGAGACACGAAGGCCAGGGGAGCAAACGGG